UGUGCGUGUGUGGGACGAGUUCAGGGGGAAGAAAGGGAGGCCAUGCUCCCUUGAAGCUUCAAGGGCAAAUUCAACAAAUUGAAAAGGAAGAUUGGUGAUUUUGUCCAUGCAUGAGUCAGAUUUGUGAUCAUCUAUGCCUACUAAACACUAGGAUAUGCAUUGCAAUAGCAAGGAAUUAAGCAAGGAAAGCUAACGGGUCAAGAAAGGACAACGAGUGAAAGCGAAACACGGACGCUCAAAGUUACAUGAAUACCGUUAUCGUUGCAUAGGAACAUACGAACGAAGAUCGACACAAGUAGCUUGGAUUGUACGGAAGGGGAAUUAUGUAAAUAAUUUUCUUACGCUAAUCUUGUUACGUCACUAUGUAAAAGUUAUGUGAUGGUCUUUAUGAAUGAUGUCUUAAGAGCUUUAUAAGUAUGUUAAAUUGUUUU
Helianthus annuus (common sunflower) is the source of this 431-nucleotide long non-coding RNA. RefSeq lists it as uncharacterized. The transcript is spliced from 3 exons. The record is from RefSeq and is a predicted model, not a curated record. NCBI's taxonomy places the organism in Eukaryota, Viridiplantae, Streptophyta, Magnoliopsida, Asterales, Asteraceae.